UUUAACUGACGCUGAGGCACGAAAGCGUGGGUAGCAAACAGGAUUAGAUACCCUGGUAGUCCACGCUGUAAACGAUGAUUACUAGGUGUGGGGGGAUUGACCCCUUCCGUGCCGCAGUUAACACAAUAAGUAAUCCACCUGGGGAGUACGGCCGCAAGGUUGAAACUCAAAGGAAUUGACGGGGGCCCGCACAAGCAGUGGAGUAUGUGGUUUAAUUCGAAGCAACGCGAAGAACCUUACCGGGGCUUGACAUCCUAGGAAGAUUUCAGAGAUGAGAUUGUGCCCUUCGGGGAACCUAGAGACAGGUGGUGCAUGGUUGUCGUCAGCUCGUGUCGUGAGAUGUUGGGUUAAGUCCCGCAACGAGCGCAACCCUUGCUUUUAGUUGCUACGCAAGAGCACUCUAGAAGGACUGCCGUUGACAAAACGGAGGAAGGUGGGGACGACGUCAAAUCAUCAUGCCCCUUAUGUCCCGGGCUACACACGUACUACAAUGGCCGUCAACAGAGGGAAGCAAUGGAGCGAUCCGGAGCAAACCCCCAAAAACGGUCCCAGUUCAGAUUGUAGGCUGCAACUCGCCUACAUGAAGUUGGAAUUGCUAGU
RNAcentral lists this ribosomal RNA (600 nucleotides) under uncultured bacterium. RNAcentral's name for it is "bacterial SSU rRNA". It matches the Rfam family "Bacterial small subunit ribosomal RNA", at positions 735 to 1339 of the family's 1533-position model. The record is from RNAcentral.